RNAcentral lists this ribosomal RNA (253 nucleotides) under uncultured bacterium. RNAcentral's name for it is "partial 16S ribosomal RNA". It matches the Rfam family "Bacterial small subunit ribosomal RNA", at positions 524 to 776 of the family's 1533-position model. The record is from RNAcentral.
UACAGAGGUCUCAAGCGUUGUUCGGAUUCAUUGGGCGUAAAGGGUGCGUAGGCGGCGCGGUAAGUCGGGUGUGAAAUCUCGGAGCUUAACUCCGAAACUGCAUUCGAUACUGCCGUGCUUGAGGACUGGAGAGGAGACUGGAAUUUACGGUGUAGCGGUGAAAUGCGUAGAUAUCGUAAGGAAGACCAGUGGCGAAGGCGGGUCUCUGGACAGGUACUGACGCUGAGACGCGAAAGCGUGGGUAGCAAACAGG